Molecule: unclassified non-coding RNA, 4654 nt
Filed under: Hevea brasiliensis (rubber tree)
Lineage: Eukaryota; Viridiplantae; Streptophyta; Magnoliopsida; Malpighiales; Euphorbiaceae
Source: RNAcentral
GGUGAAUCCCCAAAUUACCCUCCCAAAACUUCGAAAACCCUUUCCAUGUCAUCUCUUUUGCGGUCUCCCUCAAAUUCACACGCAUACACGAAGGCACAGAUCUAAGAGAGAACUGAAAAACCCCUUGUUCUCUCUCUCUUCUCUCCGAUCUGCUUCUGAUUAUUUGUUUCUCUGAAAUUGACAUUAGCUGUUCCUUGCCCUUUCACUCGAAUCUAAUAGCGUUGGUGAUUCAUUGUAGAUGCGAUUGGGUUCCUUUUCUUGAUCUGAUCAGAUCUAAGAGUUUAUUUUGGUUGAUUAUAGAAGAUGUUAACGAAGUUUGAGACGAAGAGUAAUAGAGUUAAGGGACUGAGUUUCCACAGUAAGAGACCGUGGAUCCUUGCGAGUCUUCAUAGUGGCGUGAUCCAGCUAUGGGACUACCGAAUGGGCACAUUAAUUGAUAGGUUUGAUGAGCACGACGGUCCUGUUCGCGGAGUCCAUUUCCACAAAUCUCAGCCUCUAUUUGUGUCUGGAGGUGAUGAUUACAAGAUUAAAGUUUGGAACUACAAAAUGCAUAGGUGUCUGUUUACACUUCUUGGACACCUUGAUUACAUCCGUACUGUUCAGUUUCAUCAUGAGUACCCAUGGAUCGUGAGUGCCAGUGAUGACCAGACCAUCCGUAUUUGGAAUUGGCAAUCACGUACUUGCAUUUCUGUGUUGACGGGCCACAAUCAUUAUGUAAUGUGCGCCUCAUUCCAUCCUAAAGAAGACCUUGUUGUUUCGGCCUCUCUAGAUCAGACUGUUCGUGUUUGGGAUAUUGGUGCCCUGAGAAAGAAAACUGUGUCCCCUGCUGAUGACAUUCUGCGCUUGAGUCAGAUGAACACGGAUCUUUUUGGUGGGGUUGAUGCUGUUGUUAAGUAUGUCUUGGAAGGUCAUGAUCGAGGAGUGAACUGGGCUGCAUUCCACCCCAACCUUCCCUUGAUUGUCUCAGGAGCAGAUGAUCGUCAGGUGAAAUUGUGGCGCAUGAAUGACACAAAGGCUUGGGAAGUGGACACAUUGAGAGGACACAUGAACAAUGUGUCAUGCGUUAUGUUCCAUGCCAAACAGGAUAUCAUUGUUUCAAAUUCUGAGGAUAAAAGCAUUCGUGUUUGGGAUGUAACCAAACGAACAGGAGUUCAGACUUUCCGUCGAGAGCAUGACCGUUUCUGGAUUCUUGCAUCUCACCCUGAAAUGAAUCUCCUUGCUGCAGGUCAUGACAGUGGCAUGAUUGUUUUUAAAUUAGAGAGAGAACGGCCUGCCUUUGCAGUGAGUGGUGAUUCUUUGUUCUAUGCCAAAGAUCGCUUUUUGCGGUUCUUUGAGUUUUCAACACAAAGAGAAACUCAAGUGAUUCCCAUCCGGCGACCUGGUACCACCAGCCUGAAUCAAAGUCCAAGGACACUAUCUUACAGUCCUACAGAGAAUGCUGUUCUUAUUUGCUCAGAUGUGGAUGGUGGAUCUUAUGAGCUGUAUGUCAUACCUAAAGAUAGCAUUGGUCGGGGUGAUACUGUGCAGGAGGCAAAGAGGGGUGCUGGGGUAUCAGCCAUUUUUGUGGCUCGUAAUAGAUUUGCUGUGCUUGACAAAAGUAGCAAUCAAGUCUUGGUCAAAAACCUGAAGAACGAAGUUGUUAAAAAAAGUGGUCUUCCCAUUGCUACUGAUGCAAUAUUCUAUGCUGGGACUGGUAACUUGCUUUGCAGAGCAGAGGAUAGAGUAGUCAUAUUUGAUCUCCAGCAAAGGCUCGUUCUUGGGGAUCUUCAAACACCUUUUGUCAAAUACGUUGUUUGGUCUAAUGACAUGGAGAGUAUUGCCUUGCUCAGCAAACAUGCCAUCAUCAUUGCUAGCAAGAAGCUUGUGCACCAGUGCACUCUUCAUGAGACAAUUCGUGUAAAGAGUGGAGCCUGGGAUGAUAAUGGUGUUUUUAUUUAUACAACUUUAAAUCACAUAAAAUACUGCCUUCCUAAUGGGGAUAGUGGCAUAAUCAGAACUCUUGAUGUCCCAAUAUACAUUACCAAGGUUUCUGGAAAUACCAUUUUUUGCUUGGAUCGGGAUGGGAAAAAUAGAACUAUUGUCAUUGAUGCAACAGAAUAUAUCUUUAAACUCUCCCUUUUGAGGAAGAGAUAUGACAAUGUUAUGAGCAUGAUUAGGAACUCUCAGCUUUGUGGGCAGGCAAUGAUUGCGUAUUUGCAGCAGAAGGGUUUUCCUGAAGUUGCUUUGCAUUUUGUGAAGGAUGAGAGAACACGAUUUAAUUUGGCCCUUGAGAGUGGAAAUAUUCAGAUUGCUGUUGCUUCAGCAAAGGAAAUUGAUGAGAAAGAUCAUUGGUAUAGAUUGGGGGUGGAAGCGCUUCGCCAAGGUAAUGCUGGUAUCGUUGAGUAUGCCUACCAGAGGACUAAAAAUUUUGAGAGGUUAUCUUUCCUUUAUCUAAUAACUGGGAAUCUGGAAAAGCUUUCCAAGAUGCUGAAAAUUGCUGAGGUUAAGAAUGAUGUCAUGGGUCAAUUUCACAAUGCCCUGUAUUUGGGUGAUGUUCAAGAGCGUGUCAAGAUCUUAGAGAAUGCUGGUCAUUUGCCACUCGCUUAUAUAACUGCUAAAGUCCAUGGGUUAGAGGAUCUUGCUGAACGUUUGGCUGCUGAAUUAGGAGAUAAUGUUCCAUCCGUUCCAGAGGAUAAAGUGCCCUCCCUUCUGAUGCCUCCAGCUCCCGUUAUGUGUGGUAGUGACUGGCCCCUUCUAAGAGUCAUGAAAGGUAUUUUUGAAGGUGGACUUGAUAAUAUGGGCAGAGGUGGUGCUGAAGAAGAUGAAGAGGUUGGGGAAGGCGAUUGGGUUAAUGAACUGGAAAUGGUUGUUGAGGAUGGCUCACAAAAUGGGGAUGUUACAGCAAUUUUGGAGGAUGGAGAAGGGGCUGAAGAAAAUGACGAGGGAGGAUGGGACCUUGAAGACCUGGAGCUUCCCCCUGAGGCAGACACACCUAGGGCUUCUGUCAUUGCUCGCUCUUCAGUUUUUGUGGCACCAACUCCUGGUAUGCCUGUAAGCCAGAUUUGGAUCCAGAGAUCAUCACUAGCUGCUGAACAUGCUGCAGCUGGCAAUUUUGAUACUGCUAUGCGAUUGCUCAACAGGCAACUUGGAAUUCGAAACUUCAUCCCUUUGAGAUCCAUGUUUCUUGAUCUUCAUUCUGGUAGCCAUUCCUAUUUGCGUGCAUUUUCAUCUACUCCAGUGAUAUCACUAGCUGUUGAGCGAGGAUGGAAUGAGUCUGCCAGCCCUAAUGUGAGGGGUCCUCCAGCAUUGGUGUUCAAUUUCUCACAGUUGGAGGAGAAGCUCAAGGCUGGUUACAAAGCCACAACAACAGGGAAAUUCACAGAGGCACUUAGACUCUUUCUCAGCAUCCUUCACACAAUUCCCUUAAUUGUUGUUGAAUCAAGGAGAGAGGUUGAUGAAGUCAAGGAAUUGAUUGUUAUAGUCAAAGAAUAUGUGCUGGGUCUGCAGAUGGAGCUUAAAAGAAGGGAAAUGAAAGAUAAUCCAGUCCGCCAACAGGAGCUAGCUGCCUACUUCACCCACUGCAACCUUCAAAUGCCUCAUUUAAGGCUUGCUUUGCUAAAUGCAAUGACUGUAUGCUUCAAAGCAAAGAACCUUGCUACUGCAGCUAACUUUGCCAGGCGGCUGUUGGAGACAAACCCCACACUUGAGAACCAGGCAAAGACUGCCAGGCAAGUGUUGCAGGCUGCAGAAAGGAAUAUGACAGAUGCCUCUGAGCUGAAUUAUGAUUUCAGGAACCCAUUUGUGACAUGUGGUGCAACAUAUGUUCCAAUUUACCGAGGACAAAAGGAUGUCUCUUGCCCAUACUGUAGUUCACGAUUUGUGCCAAGCCAAGAAGGGAAGCUGUGUACUGUUUGUGAUCUUGCAGUUGUUGGGGCAGAUGCUUCAGGUUUGCUUUGUUCUCCUUCCCAGAUACGAUGAUUGAGAUGCUGAAGUGAGAGGAUUUUUCAAUUAUUUUUCAGCUCAUCUUACUAGCAGCAGUGGUCAUCUUGAUUGUUUCACUGCGGGGAAAAAAAAGGUAAGAUAAUAUAGAAGAGUUAAGUGCCCUGUGAAUUUGCUUGUGCUGUCUCCUUUUCUUUGCUUUCUUCUCUAAAUCUUCUUUACCUCUUUUUACUUAGUUGAUUAUGAUUUUCAUUGUAAUAAACAACUUGAGAAUUUUGACUUGGGUUUUUCUUGUUACCUGUCAAUAGACAAGAAUGGUCAACGGCUCUUGUUAAAUUAGAUAAUCUUUAUAGGCAGGACAAAUUACAUAUCAGUGUAUGCAGAUGCCAUGCCGUUUGGCAAAUUUGAUUUGCUUAUUUGUGAUGAAUUAGAGUUUCUACCGGUUGGCAGUGAAAUUAGUUUUUCUGGUUUCAAUAAUCAACAUUUUUGUAUGUUUUCAGCACCCUUUCACCACAUCUUUAUCUUUUGAAGUUUUUGUUCAGAAUCCUCGUGGAAUAUUCAGUGGCUGAUGUGGUGCUGUUCAAUCACAUUUUUGGAUUAAAUAUUAUAGGUUCUUGUUAAUUACCAUAUUUUGGAGCUGCGUGUCUGGCUGUUUGCAAAUACAUUGUAGGAUUUUAAAGUAUAUAGAUUUGCCAGUAAAACUUACAAGUCUUCUGACUUGAGUUGGUGAGAAGGG